AAUAAAAAGGCACCCCAUUUCCCUUACAGCUGUCUCGCCGAACGCCGCCCUUCACAGCCGUCUCGCUCAUCCGUCGCCAGCCACGAAUCCCAACUGCUCGCAUCUUUUUCUUCUCUCGGCAACCCUUGCCUAACGGUGGCCGUCCGCGAGCAUCGGUGACCAAACCGCGCGACCUUUUCCCUUCCAGUCGCGUGUCCGUGCCUCGCCUCACCGUCGGCCCUUCGCACGCCUCUGCUCACGUCGUGACGGUCGUCGUCGACUCUCAGCCGUCCGCGGGUGCCAGAUCGAAGAUGUGGGUUUUGACGUCGUUGCUGAUCCGUCUUGUCGUCCGACGUCGCUUCUUCGUCCAACAUCGUCCAGCUUCUACCGUCGUCGCGGUUGCUGUUGUCUCUUUUGGAAGCGAUAUUCAGAGGAUUUUGAGGACGUUGCUCAUCGAGGAGGAGACUGAUUUUUCGUCAGGAAUUGUUAAGUUUGGAUUGGCGUUUUGGUAUGAGUUCUAAAAUCUGCUAAGAGAAAAUUUUGGAGUCGAAAUCUUGCGAGUUUCGUUUGGGUAAGUUUUGGCGACCAUCUGAUUUAAAUUUUUAUGUUUGGUCCUGAUUCCAAAGGCUGAAAUUUAGUAUUAUGUCUGUAUUAGAGGACUUAAUUCAAGGUUUAUUUUGUUGAAGAGCAUUAGCUUGGAUUAAUAUCUGAACUUGACUUCGAGGUAAGUAAUCUUAUCAUUGGAACUGCCCACGGGCCAGGCUCUAGUUGUAUGCUAGCAUGAUAAGUGUAUGUUAUGGUAAAUGUUAGGAUGUUGAUUGACAGUAUGACUUGAAUCAA
Benincasa hispida (wax gourd) is the source of this 819-nucleotide long non-coding RNA. RefSeq lists it as uncharacterized. The record is from RefSeq and is a predicted model, not a curated record. Lineage: Eukaryota; Viridiplantae; Streptophyta; Magnoliopsida; Cucurbitales; Cucurbitaceae.